RNAcentral lists this ribosomal RNA (441 nucleotides) under uncultured bacterium. RNAcentral's name for it is "bacterial SSU rRNA". It matches the Rfam family "Bacterial small subunit ribosomal RNA", at positions 958 to 1398 of the family's 1533-position model. The record is from RNAcentral.
AACGCGAAGAACCUUACCUACCCUUGACAUCCAAAGAAUUUUGCAGAGAUGCGAAAGUGCCGAAAGGAACUUUGAGACAGGUGCUGCAUGGCUGUCGUCAGCUCGUGUUGUGAGAUGUUGGGUUAAGUCCCGUAACGAGCGCAACCCUUAUCCUUAGUUGCCAACAUGUAAUGGUGGGGACUCUAAGGAGACUGCCGGUGAUGAACCGGAGGAAGGCGGGGACGACGUCAAGUCAUCAUGGCCUUUAUGGGUAGGGCUACACACGUGCUACAAUGGGCGGUACAGAGGGCAGCGAAAGCGCGAGCUGGAGCUAAUCCCGAAAAGCCGUUCAUAGUCCGGAUCGGAGUCUGCAACUCGACUCCGUGAAGUCGGAAUCGCUAGUAAUCGCGAAUCAGAAUGUCGCGGUGAAUACGUUCCCGGGCCUUGUACACACCGCGCAUA